GUUCCUUCUCUCUCCGUGUGGUCGCGUGCAUUUUCUCCACAUUUUUUAAUCAACGUCACACGUUUAGAGUAUUUGGCUGCUGCUAUAAAUUUAUACGUGAUGAUAAUAAGCCACUUCGUUGAUCUAUUAUUUGUGAUGGCCGGGUCGUUUUUGAAAAAGAGCUAAUUAGCUCAGUGGGCGUUUCCUGAUAAAGUAAAAAAAAUGUUAAAGUUGUACUUUAACUCACGGGACAGCAACCUGCGGCUCUUUAAGGACUGCAGUACGGCUAUUGAAAUGAAAAAAAAAUGUUAUUCUUGUUAUGUUGAUUGCUGACAGCUGACCAUGGAAGUCCAGUUUACAAUGGAAGUCCAGUUUAUGAUGAGCACAGUUCGGCAACCUGGACUCACCAUCUCAGCCCAUUAAGGAUUGCUGCUUCGUCACAUUUUUUAUUAUGGACUCACCAUUUCGUAUGCUCCACGUGUCAUUGCGGCUCUUCAAAUAUUUCGGUUUUAUUUUAUUACCGAAUUCGAAUAAAAUGUAUCUUUUUGUUAUUUUGGUUGCUGACCCUGGUUUAACGGAACAAUGGGGGUUCCCUUUGCCGGGAUGACUCACGCACAGUCCCUUUCAGCUGCAUUGUGGAAUAGCUAACGUCCCCUUUUACGUUGCUCCGUUGACAGAUGAAAUUGCGCAAAAGAAUCCGCGCAGUCAUUAUCUUCGGAGUAAUAAUCGAUUUAUUUGAUCUGACGUUACAAUUCAGUCCGAGGACGGCUCAUUCUGCGCCACAAAGAAGCAAUCUUCACUGGAAUUGUUCCAUCCAUGGAGCUUCACAAAUCUUCCUCUUUAGAGAACUGGAGGAAAUGGCAAGCUGCUUUACGGUGGGCCAAAACACCUGUUCGUCAGUGACAGAUAGUCUCCAACUGGACGUAAUUGACUGGGAAGUGCCUCGGGGCCUGAUCUUGCAAGACGGAAACGAGACCGGGCCCUACACUGUGAAGGUGGAGACGCCAAACGGCGAUUCAAAGACCUGCCCACUAUCGAAUUCAGCUGAGCCCAGCGACGCUUCUCAAUCUCAGAUGAAAAGCGUGCCAAGGCUUCUCUUCCACACCUCGUCUGCACCUGAGGCUUCAGCGUCGCAGCCGACCCUCCACAGUCGAGUCACUACUGCAGCCGUGGUGUCUCUUUCCUUAGUUUUCCUUCUCGUCAUCUUCUGUAUAAUCAUCAUUUACAAAUGUUCAAGAUCAAGAUUAUGCAGUGGCCCACUCCCCAUUCCCCCAAGCGGCCUUAACCCCCACCUGGCCACACGCUACCUACUACCCGCACCCCCCAGUUGCCACCCACUAACCCCCACCGACCACCUGCUAGCCCCACCCCCCACUAGCCUCCACCCACCAUUGGCCACCCACUUACACCCACCGGCCACC
This is a long non-coding RNA of Lethenteron reissneri (Far Eastern brook lamprey), 1400 nucleotides long. RefSeq lists it as uncharacterized. The record is from RefSeq and is a predicted model, not a curated record. NCBI's taxonomy places the organism in Eukaryota, Metazoa, Chordata, Hyperoartia, Petromyzontiformes, Petromyzontidae.